Long non-coding RNA from Panicum virgatum (switchgrass), 691 nucleotides. RefSeq lists it as uncharacterized. The transcript has 2 exons. Lineage: Eukaryota; Viridiplantae; Streptophyta; Magnoliopsida; Poales; Poaceae. The record is from RefSeq and is a predicted model, not a curated record.
GUUCAAAGGGCAGUGUUGUCAUUGCGCAUCCUCAAAUAAAAAAAAAGACCCUACUUCCUCCCUCGGCGCUCCCGUCUGCUCCGCCGCCGGCAGCUUCAGGGAGACGUCCUGCCGUCGCCUGGCCCCCUCGGCGCUCACGUCUGCCCCCGCCGCCGCUACCUCCGCCUUGUGGCUCGCUGCCGGCCGCCUCGGGGAGAGAGAUACAAACCGCUGCUUCAGCGCUGCUCCUCGCGAACUCCUCCUCCACGUCGUGUUCUUCGCGCGCCCCGUAAGAAGGAUGCUAAGACUUCCUCACCAGUCUCCAGAAGCCGAGUACUAGGAGGUCAAGAAGUGAGGCAGCGGAGGAUGAAACAGUAGUGUCCCAUUUAGAAGUAGAGUAGCUAGUCUUUUUUAGAACACAAGAUAAUAGGAUGAUGUAACCUGUGCAAGGUUGUCUCUGACCUACCCAACCAAGCUAGUUGAAGGUUUGAAGCAUCUGGCAAAGUUUGAGAAAUAAGAUUCCUUUUAUUAUUUCUACCCUUUUCUGAGUUUGAGACUAAGUUUUCUGCUGUGUCUUACCUGUGCGACUGCCGUACUGGCACAGACUAUGUGAAUUCAUACAUGCUUUCUCCUGUGCCAGGUGAAGGCACAUGGUAGAGUAUUUCAGUUGUGACAUUAUUUCUGAAUCAGCAGAUGCUGUUUAAGUGCUUUA